AGAGUUUGAUCAUGGCUCAGAUUGAACGCUGGCGGAAUGCUUUACACAUGCAAGUCGAACGGCAGCAUAGGUGCUUGCACCUGAUGGCGAGUGGCGAACGGGUGAGUAAUACAUCGGAACGUGCCCAGUCGUGGGGGAUAACGUAGCGAAAGUUACGCUAAUACCGCAUACGCCCUGAGGGGGAAAGCGGGGGAUCGCAAGACCUCGCGCGAUUAGAGCGGCCGAUGCCUGAUUAGCUAGUUGGUGGGGUAAAAGCCCACCAAGGCGACGAUCAGUAGCUGGUCUGAGAGGACGAUCAGCCACACUGGGACUGAGACACGGCCCAGACUCCUACGGGAGGCAGCAGUGGGGAAUAUUGGACAAUGGGCGAAAGCCUGAUCCAGCAAUACCGCGUGAGUGAUGAAGGCCUUAGGGUUGUAAAGCUCUUUUAGCAGGGAAGAAACACCGGCUCUAACACAGUCCGGGAAUGACGGUACCUGAAGAAUAAGCACCGGCUAACUACGUGCCAGCAGCCGCGGUAAU
RNAcentral lists this ribosomal RNA (522 nucleotides) under uncultured bacterium. RNAcentral describes it as "bacterial SSU rRNA". It matches the Rfam family "Bacterial small subunit ribosomal RNA", at positions 8 to 524 of the family's 1533-position model. The record is from RNAcentral.